UACGGAGGGGGCUAGCGUUGUUCGGAAUUACUGGGCGUAAAGCGCACGUAGGCGGCUUUGUAAGUUAGAGGUGAAAGCCCGGGGCUCAACUCCGGAACUGCCUUUAAGACUGCAUCGCUAGAAUUGUGGAGAGGUGAGUGGAACUGCGAGUGUAGAGGUGAAAUUCGUAGAUAUUCGCAAGAACACCAGUGGCGAAGGCGGCUCACUGGCCCGAUACUGACGCUGAGGUGCGAAAGCGUGGGGAGCAAACAGG
Molecule: ribosomal RNA, 253 nt
Filed under: uncultured bacterium
Lineage: Bacteria
Description: partial 16S ribosomal RNA
Rfam family: Bacterial small subunit ribosomal RNA
Source: RNAcentral